This 40233-nucleotide long non-coding RNA is filed under the name Selaginella moellendorffii. RNAcentral's name for it is "long non-coding RNA (SMOE_LNC000338)". Lineage: Eukaryota; Viridiplantae; Streptophyta; Lycopodiopsida; Selaginellales; Selaginellaceae. The record is from RNAcentral.
GGUGGUGGUGGUGGUGGAGACUCGUAUUUAUACGGUGGCAACGGAGGCGGAGACUCUGGUGGUGGAGAUUUGUACUCGUACGGUGGUGGAGAUUUCUCAUGGUGGUGGAGAUUUGUACUCGUAUGGAGGUGGAGACUUCUCGCAUUUUGGUGGUGGUGGUGGUGGUGGAGACUUGGGUGGUGGCGGAGGUGGAGAUUUCUCACACUUUGGUGGAAGUGGUGGAGACUUGUAACGGUAAGGAGCUGGUGUGGUGGUGAUUCAACCGGUGGCGGUGGUGGUGGUGGGGAUUUGUAGCAGUAAGGAGGUGCAUUAGGAGGUGCAUUAGGAGGGCAUAAACGAUUUGGAAACCACCAGGGCCUUCUCAGCCAUGGCCUCCAACAGAAGAAAUCGAUCGUGCUCUUGGGAAUUUCAAAGCCAAAGUUCUUGGCAUCUCCAAAACCCCCUGCAUUUCGAUCCAAAACCUCCUGAGAUCCAUCAGACCUGACAGUAGAAACCAGGAGAAGCAGCAAAAACAUGUUGCAUGACUUGGAGACCUUUUCUUGUGAGACUACAAAAUUUCCAAGUUGUAAAGCCUAGCAUUGUGUCUUGGAACCCACUGCUUUCAAAUAGUAAUGCUUUAGAAAUUGAUGGCUCUAAAAUCUUGUUUUUGAUUUUAUUAUAUUUCAAUUAGCGAUGUUAGUAACCUUUGCUUUUAUAACAAUAAUAAGGAUGAAAAUGAAAUUCAACAAAGAAAAGCUGCAUGAAUAUUCUUAUAUGAAACUUUGUUAAACAUUGACAAUCAUUAGGGAGCUCAAUUUUAUCAUUGUUUCUUUGGCACGAAUCCCACUAGAAGAAACAAUGAGAGAGCACAAACAAUUGUUGCCUAGAACAUUUAUCACUUUGCACUUCACAAUAUUAAGCACCAUUUUAUUAUGUUUGGUCUGCCAACAAUACUAAAGUGCCAGAGUUAGCAAGCAAAGACGUUUGGCUAUUUUUAAAUUUUCUUUUGUAGUGAAUUUUGGAGUGGCAUUUUAGCUUUAUAAAAAGCCCAAGAGAUUGAAUUUUGGCAACAGUGGCUAGGGUGUGCUGCUGUGAGAGAGUGAAGAGAUUCAGUAUUCCAAGCAUUGUCUCCCAACUCUUGCAGCAGUGCUGAACAUAUGCAAAUCUUGGGCCAGCAUUGCAAGGGAUGUGGGUUUAUUCUGGUGUGAUUCCAAAACUUUGCUAUGCGUUACAUAUAGCAAUGUUUGGUUUGGUUUAUAAUAUUAAUAAUUUAUCUAAUUGAUCAAUAUAUAAUUCAAGCUAGAACAAAAGUGGAUAUGAAGUUUGAUUGAGUUUUUGUGGGAUAAGCCACAUUUUUCUUCAGCCAUCAUAUCUCAAUGAAAUUUAGUGAUGUAGAAAGUUCCAAGUUUGCAUUUUUAACUCGUUACUUCGUAAUAAACUCGGUUUGAGAAAAAGUAGCAGCUCCAUUGAAACCCUUGUUUAACCAGCAAAAUGAAUACAAUUUUCAUCUGUAAUGCUUUUUAGUUUGAUUUUUCCCCUCUUUUCCAAAUUACAUCCCGGUGAAAGUGCGUAAGUAAUUACAAGGUGACCAAAAUUUCUUGACUAACCUGUCUCCCCCACGACUUGUAUAAUGGAAUCAAUCAAAUUCAAUCAAUCUCGCCUUCUUCCACCUCGCCGUUUUCGUCCGCGUACGCAACCUCGCCAUCCCCCUGCUUGUCAUCCUCCUCCUCGUCCAGCUUCAUGAACAGGCCCAGUUGCUCCAGCGCGUUCCCGGCGCCUUGUGGAAGAGUGAAGCCCGGCAAUCCAUCCGGAGAAUUCGGGGGGCUCACUUCCCCCGCCGAGCUCUGGAAGUGCUCCUUGGAGCUCGUCCUCAUCAGGUCGAAAUCCUUGAGAAUCUCACAGUGCGCGUCGAGAUCCACUGUUCUUUCCAUCUACAUCACGAAAAACACGAGUAAAAAGAGGCUUUUAACGCGAGAAAAGAGCUUGCUUACCUGUUGCAGAGCCUUCCGAGCGGCCUCUCGUUCCACUUCUCGUUUCUUCCUGGCCUCCGUCGCAGCUUCCGCUUCGGCUUUUUUGCGAGCGACCUCUGCAGCCUUGGCAUCUGCCUGUAACCGUGCUUUAUCUGUACGCAAAGCACGUUGCUUACAAAAACAAUAAAGGAAAGACACGAAUAAAAGCUUACCUUCUCUUAACUUCCUUUCGAGUUCCUCCCGCUCCUUGCGAAGCUUUUCCGGAUCGACGUUGUCCCCGCUCUGCACACACACACACACACACAAGAAAGAAGAGUAUCAGCUCUGUGACAAGGCAGCUACGCUAGUGUACCUUGAGCGGGAAAGUCUUCUCCCGAGCUUUCAAAAUGGUAUCGGCAAAGCGACCUUUCAGCAGAGCUGCACGAACGCUCUUUUCGGGAGAGACUGGCCUCUCAGAUUGGAGUUUCUCUGCUGCUGCAAAGCUCAUGAGAAGCCAGAAAAUCGUCACGCUUCACGCUUACAUUUUUCGGCUUGAGAUUCAGGUAAGUCCCCAGCCUCCCCAGGUCUGACUGUUACGGGCUCUGGAACAUAUCACACAAAAAAGAUUAGUAGCCCGUCGAGAAAAAUCAAUCCUCCAUGGACAAGCAGCAGCAGGCAGUGCAUGAACGGAGAAUCGAGCUCCCACAAAUGAAAAGAAUGCAAAGUGUGCACAAGACGGCACCCACGUUUUGCACCGUCAAUCUUGUCAGACGGGCUGGAUAAUUGCUCGCGAACAGCACCAAAACCCAUAGGCUCCUGGCAAGAAUACCGCACGGAAGGGCAGUUCAGCCACCUCCAAAAAAAAAUCCCCCCCACUUCCACGAGAAAAGAAAAGAAUCGCUCUCACUCACUCCUCUCUUUUUUUCUGCCUAACUAGUCACCGUUCCCGUUCCCCAAGCAAAUACCUUCUGAGAGGUAGGCUUCUCUAUACCAGCAGUUCGAGGACCUUCGGCGUCGGAAUCGCUGUGAGAAGAGCUCCCGGAAUCCGAUUCUGAAAAAAAAAAAACCGGUUAUCAAGCAUGCCUGGGCACACAAAAAACAUACCACUGGAAUCUGAACCAGAGCUGCUGGAAGAACUUCCUCCAGACGACUCUCUUCCAUCAUUAGGUGUAUCUUUGUCAACUACAACAGGUGAAUAAUUGGCUGUAGGCAUGUCGUCCUCUCCAUCGAUAUCGACGUCCUCAUCUAGCCCUUCACCACCUAGACGAUCAUUAACAUAUAUCAGACACCUACGACGACGAGAACUCAAGAACAUACUCUUUCGACUCUUCUUCGGUGAAUCUCCCGGAGCCGUUCCCCCGGUCUGCUGGGAAAGACAAAGACAAAGAACACAGGUCAAAGUAAGAACUACCAACGACAAGAAAUACCUUGAUGCCUUCUGCUGGCUGCGGCCGGGGCCUCUUCUUGUUUUUCGGCUUCAUACAGCUCGCAACCAUCUUGUGAAGCUCCCAUAGUGUGUCGUUGUCGAUCCCAUCAAUGUCGACUUCGAUCGUAUCCUCGCUCUGGCUAAGGUUUGGGUUGUGCUUCUUGAGUAGCAAAACGAUCUCGUCGGCUUUGUCACCUGGGUUCUGCUCCAACACCUUCUCCAGAUUCUUACCCAGCUCCGUCUUCUCCUCGUAAGUCAUCUGUCUCUUGCCCGACUUCUUGCUUCCCCUGGGAGCCCCGGCGGGUUUCUUGAGCGACGACAAUUGAUCCUCGAUGCUGAGGAGGCUCUGCUUGAGGUUCUGCAAGGCCGGGUUUGGGUUCCCCUGAGCAAUCUCCGCAAACACCUCGUCCUCCACCCGGCACUUGGUCUGCUCCUCCUCCAGCUUCUCCUUGAUGCACCUCCACCUCUCAUCGAAAAUCUGGCGAAGUAUGUCCGCCAUGAUGAACACGUCGUGCCCGGGCGGGUUGUAAGUCAUGGCAUUCGAAAAGGUGAGCUUGACAUCGUCCGCAAACUCGACUGGCGUGCGGUAGUGGCCGCCCUCGAGCUUCUUCUUGAUGGUGCCCAGGUCCAUGGGCCGCCGGAUCACCUUGUGGUAGUCGUGGAGCCCGAGUUUGACAGCGUCCACGGGCUCGUUGAAAACCCAAGCGUGCUUGUGGGUGAUGAGCUUCUUGAGCAGCGUCCCACACUGUUUCAUUAUGUCGCCCAUCCUCUUCAUCCGCGCUAGCUCCACCCUUUGCCGCUUGUUGUCAAUGUCGCCCUUAGUCCCUUUCUUGGGCGGGACGAGCGCCUUGGGCUUGACCUUCUCCGGCGGCGGCAUCUUGUCCUUGGCCGAGAAAUACUCCGAGGUGCUGUACAUCUGAUUCGCCUUGGGCGUCCGCUUCUCCUUGCUGCUGCCGCCCGUGCCCGGCGUGCCGAGAGUGCCCGACGAUCUGGACUGCUGCUCUAGCGCCUCAAUCUUGGUGCUAAUCCCGAUAACCUGUUCCAGGUCGAGCUUCAAGCGCUUGCGGACCUCGCGCUUGGAUUCUUUCGGCAUUGCCGACACAGAUUCCAUCGAUCACACGCACCUGGAGGCCGAUCCCCACACCCUAAUCACUAGGCCAGGGCUCGGCGGCAGAUCCCUACCGAAACCCUAGAACACAUGACGGAAGAGAGGAACCGAGGGCUCCUUUAAAAGCGGUGUCCACGCUGUCCUGGCCGUUAGAUCCCCAUCGGGCGGUCCACAUUCCUCGGGGCCCCCGGCCGUUGGAUCCCGGAUCGGACGUCGAUUUUGAUCUCUAGCCGUCGGAUGUGUAUCGCACGGCUGGCGCCCCGGGCAGCCGGUCCGCCGUCGGAUGCGUGUAAACGGUUUCGAUGGGGCUGCCCGUGGUACACGUGGCGGGACUGCAACCGCAGGCGCCCUAUCCGUAAAAUGGAAAAGAAAGUUUUUUCACACGGUUUCCCCAGACGCGGGGGAAUCUUCACUGAUACCGUGGCGAUAUUUUUUUUCUCUCUCUCUCUCGCUGGCACUUUAUAAGUAUCUAGAGUCGGGUUCGCGAUCUCGACACGUGUUGCCGCUCAACACCGUUGAUUUGCGUCUUCUUGUGUUCGUCACUCAGGCCUGUACUGUCGUCACUAGAGCUCGAUCGGGAGCUUCUCGGAGGAUUGACAGAUUUUCACAGAAUUUCUCAUCCCUGUGACUCAAAUCAAAAUGAUCGAUCGCUCAGAACCUGCUGGAACAAAGUCCCAAUCCUAUCAAAAGAUCUUCUUGUUCGAGUUCAUCACUGCGAGCCCCAAAUCACUCAGUGCUUCUUAGAGGGUAUUUCCCCACAUCAGGCACAAAGAAUGGCCUCUAGGGUGGAAAUUUGAGCUUCAUCACGGUGAACCGAUAAUCCCACGCACACGACGCCUAGAAAACACUCCUCAUAGCAGACAGAUCUCAGCACUAGAUCAGCAAUUGAAACGACGAUUCGCGAGAAAUCACAGGAGCCAGAGAUUUUCCAGUCCAAGUGGCCGCUUGGAUCACCCGGAGAUCGCAAGCGGAUGGAAGAGCGACUGGAGAGACUAUGUCUUGCCGCCGCCAGGGCGAGAUCGCAACAGCGCCCAAACGGGGCGCUGCCGCCACACAACGCAAGAACCCUAGAAAUUGACCUAGAACCACAUAUUUUAUGAUCGAGAGCUAGGGUUUUCUGAUCGCGGUGAUCUGGUGGAAGCGAUGUCGGUAAGAUGUUUGCUAGCGCCGAUCGAUUCCUGGAGCUGAGAGCUUCCGCCUUGGCAGAUUUUCACCUACAAUGGCAGCGCCUUGGUUGCGAUGGUCGGAAAGGAUUGCUUUGCCAUCGCCAGUGAUCGCCGGCUUGGUGUGAAUUUCCAGACGAUAGCUACGGAUUUUCAGCGCAUUUUCAAGAUCCAUGACAAGCUCUAUGUCGGAUUAGCAGGGCUUGCUUCCGACGUCCAGACUCUGUAAGUUUCUUACUUUGAAUUUUUUUGUGCGUUCUUUCUGAUUCGCUCGCUGCCUUUGUAGCUACCAACGAUUGAAGUAUCGACACAACCUCUUCCAGUUGCAGGAGGAACGAGAUAUGCGACCAGAAACCUUCUCGAAUUUUGUCUCUGCAACACUCUACGAGAAGAGGUGAAAAUUCUCUCCUUCUCUCUUUCGAAGCCUUUUCUUCAUCUCUUUUGUCAGAUUUGGUCCCUACUUCGUUCAGCCUCUCAUUGCUGGGCUCGGAGCAGACAACAAGCCUUACAUCUGCACGAUGGACUCUAUCGGAGCAAUGUGAGUGUCCGACUUUCGUAAGCUCAUAAGUGACUACUUGUUUUACGCAGCGAGCAUUCCAAGGACUUCGUAGUCGGGGGCACUGCGUCUGAAUCCUUGUAUGGUGCUUGCGAGUCUAUGUACAAGCCCGACAUGGUAACCAUUAUUCUAGUUCAUGUUACGAGUCCUGUUUUUUUUUUUUCUCUCAGGAGCCUGAAGACCUUUUUGAAACGAUCUCACAAGCGCUGAUCUCCUCGGUUGAUCGUGACUGUCUGAGCGGCUGGGGAGGAAUCGUCUACGUUGUGUAAUAGCGCUGAUUCUUUCUCCUCACCUUCAAGCAUACUGAUCUUAUGCUUAUUUUUCUUGUGUAGGACCCCCGACCAGGUAAUCGUAAGAACACUCAAAGGCCGGAUGGAUUAGGACUAUGGUGCUUUCAGUUUGUUUAUACUGGGCACUUGGAACAUUUGGUCAGUGCUUGUUAUCCAUUGCAGUUUUACUUAACCGAUCCCUUGUCUUGCACUUUACGUUCGGAAAGUAUCUUUAACAUCACAGAAUCACAAGCGAUGUUUCGUUUUUCAGACGAAACACUAGGUUCUAAAAGCUGUGGAAGUUGGCAGCUUCAUAAGAACCUCGGGUUUUGGGUUUGGAUCCGCGUUGUGCUCAUGACAGCCGUUUCUCAACAACACUAGACCGGCUCUGGUUGGCUGCCAUUCAAUGGGAACUGAGAAGUUUAUCCUAAAUUCAUGGACCUCAAGUCGCCACAACUGUGAGUUGUACGUAAGAACGUCCAAGAAUUUGCUUCUUGACCUGCUCUUGUUUAGUUGUCAUUUUACAGGUGGUUCCCGCUUUUUGCCAUUCAUUGUCUUUUAACUGUUUGUGAUAGCGGCUGCUGCGUUUUCCUUGUUUCUGUAUUCUUAUUGUCUGCCUGAAUGUCCUGUCCUAUCCUCUCUAUUCCAUCUCCUCUUGACAGCAUGUAGAAACUUGUAGCGUCGGAUCUUCGAUGGCAUUCUCGGGUCUGUUUCUCGAGCUUCUUGCUUUGGUGCUGGUGCUGGAGUUGAGUCAUUGUCUCGACUAUAGUGAUGCGCUCUCGAAAUCUAUUCUUUUCUUUGAAGCCCAGAGAUCCGGUCCACUUCCGAGCAGCCAACGACAGAAUUGGAGAGGCGACUCGGGCCUGUAUGACGGAGCCGCUGAGAAUGUAAUAUCGCGCAUGCAGCUCGUCUGAUGCUAACGCCAACUUGCAGGUUGAUCUCGUUGGUGGCUACUAUGAUGCCGGUGACAACGUCAAGUACCUUUUCCCAAUGGCAUUCACCAUCACAAUGCUGUCCUGGGGAGCUAUCGAAUAUGGCAACUCGAUGGCUCAACUUGGAGAGUUACAGAACGUCCUCGAUGCUAUCCGGUGGGGGACGGAUUUUAUGAUCAAGGCCAACACAGGUCCUACCACGCUCUGGGUCCAGGAAAGUUAUUUACAUGAUUUUUUAUUUCUCAGUCUGAACUUGGGACUUACUAUGCAGGUUGGAGAUCCAAGAGCGGAUCAUAACUGUUGGGAACGACCAGAAGACAUGGACACUGAUCGUCAGCUGUACAAAGUUGACGAAAACAAUCCAGGGACGGAGAUAGCUGCUGAAACUGCUGCGGCUCUUGCUGCUUCUUCAAUUGUGCUUUCGGGAGUUGAUCCUGGGUACUCAAAUUUCCUUCUUCGGCGAGCAGAAGCUGUAAGUGGUCUUUUCCCUAUUCCCUCUGCCCGAUAACAUUCAUUGUUGGAAUUCUUAUACGCUUUCUCUAUUUUUUAAUUAGCUCUUUGAGUUUGCAAAUCAGUAUCGUGGUUCUUUCUGGAAAACGUGUCCAUUCUAUUGUUCUUUCAACGGUUUCCACGUAAGUCGACGCUCAGUACGUAGCUGUAAAGCUUUUUAUCUUCUAUCAGGAUGAGCUUCUCUGGGCCGCUGCUUGGCUGUUCAAAGCCACAAAUGCCGCCUCCUAUCUCGAUUUCAUAGAACGCAACAUGGACAAAAGUGUUCCCACUAGCGAAUUCAGCUGGGAUAACAAGCAUGCUGGUGUACAAGUUUUACUUUCAAAUGUAAGGAGACACUGUUCUUUUGAUUGAUCUGAAGUCGUUAUCUGCAUUCAGUUUUACCUUUCUGGGCAGGAGUCGCUUGCAAAGUUUAAGGACCAUGCUGACAGAUUUUUCUGCUCGGUACUUCCAUACAGUCCUGUUAACCGAGUCUCCACUACUCCAGGUACACGGUUUCGCUCAUUUUUCGUUUCUUAGUCUACAAACUCCAUUCAGGUGGCAUGAUGUUUGUUAGAACUGGCGCUAACAUGCAAUACGUAACUAGCACCUCGUUUCUGGCUGCCGUGUUUGGUGAUUAUCUUCAAGCAGCAACCCAAACACUUGCGUGUCAAGACUACAUAUUUGCACCGGACACUCUGAUGUCGUUUGCACUAAACCAGGUGAGCUAUCAGUUCGCAGAAAAAUAUCAUAACCCCUUCACUUCUGUAGGUGAAUUACAUUCUUGGUCAGAAUCCCUUGGGGAUGUCUUACAUGGUUGGCUACAGCAAUUAUUAUCCUUUAGAACCGCAUCACAGAGGAGCGUCGAUAGUUUCAAUCUACGAGGAUUCGACGCCUGUGAAUUGCGUGCUGGGAUUUAACGAGUGGUUUUACAGACCUUUCCCGAAUCCGAAUGUCCUGACUGGAGCAAUUGUUGGGGGUCCAGACCGCUGGGACGCAUUCUUGGACUGGAGGCCGAACUCUGCCCAGCUUGAACCUACCACAUAUAUCAAUGCUCCUUUUGUCGGUCUUCUUGCCAGGAUUUGUAGCCUCUACAACUUCUUCUAAACCGUAAGCAAUAUUCUAGUUUUCUUCCUUCUGUUUCUUGCUAAAUAGAUUGAAUUUUCAGAGGUAGGAAAAAUGGGAGCAUUGCUGCAUCUUAAAUCAAACUUCUGGUUAGUCUGGUUCUUGUUCUCUUUAAUCCAAUUCAUUAUUCAUCUAGGGCUGUGGAACUUUGAAAGAACCCACAAUUGUUGCACUUUUCUUUUCACUCCUCACAGUGUUGGGUUUUCUCUUGCGUGCAGCAGCCUGAUGGUUUGGCGGUGAGAAGUUGUGGCUUUUAUCUGUGUUGCUGAUUUACUAAGAUAGUCACUUUUGCAGGAAGCAGCGAAAGGGAAAAAUGGCAUAGGCCGUCGGGGUUUGGCCAAGCAUGCAGUAUGAGUCGCAUGGAUCAUUGCACAUUGAACGAGGCCCAGGAGAAAAUGACAAGAGGAAGAGCUCUCUCUCUGGUAUGCUUGCGGCAUUAAAGCUAUCAAGCAGCUCCAGGAACCUAGAACUCGGGAAAAAGAUCCACGCCGAUGCAGUUCAAAGCGGUAAUGAGACCAACAUUUACAUGGCCAGCACUCUGGUGGACAUGUACGCUAAGUGUGGCUGCUUGGCGGAGGCUCGCAAGGUCUUUGACAAUAUGCCAUCGAGAAACGUGGUAUCCUGGACGUCACUCAUGCUCGGCUACGUGCAAAACUGCCAAGCCAGGACAGCUCUGGAGCUCUUCCAGCGUAUGGUGUCCGACGGCUGCGUUCCAGACGCUCAGACUUACGUUGCUGCUCUCAAGGCGUGCUCAAACUUGGUGGCGAAAGAGUCAGGUAGUGCCGCGGAUGGCAGGCUCCGGAAGAUGGUGGUGCUGGAAACAGGAUUCAUGCUCCACUCUCUGGCUGCUCCAUCGGGCUGCGACUCGGACAUCUACGUCGCCAGCACUCUGGUGGACAUGUACUCCAAGUGUGGAAGCAUGGAGGACGCUCGAAAGGUGUUCCUUGGGAUGGAGUUAGCGUCUCGAAACGUGGUGCUCUGGACAGCGCUCAUGACCGGCUAUGCUCAUAACGGCGAAGGCGAGCUCGCUCUAGAGCUCAUGGGAUCCAUGAACUGCGCUCCAAAUUCUCUUACGUUCGUCGCGGCUCUCAAGGCGUGCUCGGCUCUAGCAGCGAAAGAGGAAGGCCAGAGAAGCAGCGAUGGAAAGAUGGUGAAGAUGGUGGCGCUGGAAGCAGGAAUGCUCGUCCAUACCCGGGCUGGUUUGGCCGGUUUGGAGUCGGACAUCUUCGUGGCGAGCACUCUGGUCGACUUUUACGCCAAGUGCGGGAGUUUGAACGACUCGUACAGGAUCUUCGACGCAAUGCCGGUGAGGAACGCGAUCUCGUGGACGGCUCUCAUGUCCGGCUACGUGCAGGAAGGAGAAGGCGCGAAGGCUUUGGAGCUCUUCUCACAGAUGAUGCACAGGGAUGGCUGUGAAGUCGAUGCGCAGGCUCUCGUGGUGGGACUCAGAGCUUGCAUUGCCAGUGCUGGGAAAGAGGAGGCCAGGAAGAUCGACGACAAAACGGUGGAGCUCGUCUCUCUCUCGAGUGGAGUCCGGCUGAAAGAAGCGGUGAUCCAGCGAUCGAUGAAAGUGGCAGCUCUGGAAACCGGGAUGGUUCUCAAGGAUGAAGUGAUCGAUCGAAUGGCCAAAGUGGUUUCUCUGGAGCGAGGAAUGGCGCUUCACAAGGAGGCGAGAAAGCGAGGCUUCGAGAAAGAUAUCUUCGUCUCCAGCGCUUUGCUCGAUAUGUACUCACACUGUGGAAGCCUGGUGGACGCUCUCAAGAUCUUCGAGGGAAUGCCAUGUCAUAACGCGGUGACGUGGAAUGCCCUGCUGCUCGCGUAUGCCCAAAACGGUGAGCGUGACACGGCGCUGGACGUUUUCGCGUGGAUGCGCCUCCACCGCGGAUGCUACCACGUGGACGGCCAGACGUUCGCCAGCGCGCUCAAGGCGUGCGCCGGCAUGGCCGCUCUGGACAUGGGACGUGCCAUCCACGUGGACGCCUGCCGCUGCGGCGCCGCGGAGCUGCCCGCGGUGGUCAACUGCGUCGUCGACCUGUACGGCAAGUGCGGCAGCACGGAAGCCGCGCGGCGCGAGUUUGACGCCGCGGGCGUCGCGGACGUGGUGACCUGGAACGCGCUCGUGUCCGGGUACGCGUGGCAUGCUGACGUGGCGGAGGUGUUUGGCGCCUUGUAUGACAUGCGGCGGGCGGGGGUAAAGCCCGACGGUAUCACGUUUCUGGCGAUUCUCACGGCGUGUAGCCAUGGCGGGCUCGUCGACAAGGGGAUUAAACUCUUUGAGAAGAUGGAGGUGGUGUACGGCAUUCGUCCGGACGUGGAACACUACCACUGCAUGGUUGAUCUUCUGGGGCGGGCGAAUCAAUUGGAGCGGGCGGUGGAAAUGGUGAGGUCCAUGCCGGUGGAGCCAAAUGCCGUGACGUGGAUGACGGUUCUUGGGGCGUGCUGGAAGUGGAAGAAUGUGGAGCUUGGGCGAUUGGCGUUUGAAUCGGUGGUGGAAAAGGAUAGACGCGAGCUCGCGGCUUACAUGCUCAUGGCGAAUAUCUAUGGGAGCGCCGGGAUGUGGGAGGAGAAAAUGCGAGUGAGAGAGAUGGGAAUGGAGCUGCAAAAAGGGGAGGAUUAUGUGGCCCAUGCAGGUCUCGAACCUGCGACCUUGGCGUUAUUAGCACCACGCUCUGACCAUCUGAGCUAAUAGGCCUUAACUAUCAGUGAUUAUAAAGUUACUGGAUUCAAGGAAAUGUUAGACAUUACUCCAUGAUUAUAUUGGUUCUACAAAAAGCCUGGCACAUGCAGGUUUCGAACCUGCGACCUUGGCGUUAUUAGCACCACGCUCUGACCAUCUGAGCUAAUAGGCCUUACCAAUAAUCAGUUAUGGGCAAAGAAUUUUAUAUAGUUUUAGAAACAUUAGCCUCCAAAUCUUUGGACUUCAUGAAGGUUUCGAAUAAUCGUAUAGUGAUAAUGUGACAGAAAGGUUUAAGUCUCGAACGUACGACCUUUUAAAAAGUUUAUCAUUGGUGAUUUGUAUGUACAGAUAAAAGUUCCACGCUAUUCUAUACAAGACGAGAGUUUUCUUCGUUUAGUUAGUUUCGUGCUCGGGCCGCUGCCCAAACCAUCGCGAAGGCAGUCCUCGCCUCUUGAGCAGCCGCGAGAGCGCCGACUCGGGCAUCUUUGCUCGCUCCUCCUCCGCCAAUUCUUCCGGGGUCUUUGGAAUCGAGUCUGGCUCCAGGAACAGCUCCUCCUUCUCCGCCACUGCCGCCGCCUUCGCUGCCUCUUCCCGCGAGCGCGCCGCUACGUUUUUCUUUCGAUUGAAUCCCGCGAGCACGACCAAGUUCUUGAUGAGAGUGGUCACGCCGCCGGACUGCCUGACUAGAUUCUCCAGCCUCUCCAGCGGCUGGCACGACUGAUUAGCAUCGUCGAAGGCAGCAGCGCAUUCCUCCUGGGAGCUCUCCUGGAAAACGAGAACCAAAAGUGUCAGCGAGAUGGGCAGACGAUUCUUCACGAAUCAAUCGAAGCGGACAAACCUUGAUCUUCUCGAAUUCGAAGAGAGCAUCGUAGCACUCGUGGGCCUCGUUCCCAUCCAGAAUGGUGCAUUCGUCUACUCCACAAGCAAGAGAGAACCACAGAGAACUCUCUCAGAGAGAUUUCAAUCGAAUCGAGCAAGCUGAUUUACCUUGCAAAGCGUGCUCGGCCUUCUCCAGCAGCGUCCGCUGUCGCAUUCCACGAACGCUUCUACUCUGCGUGAAUGGCUCGAGCUUUGGAACCUCGGACGAGACCGACACCGACGAUGAAGAUGAAGAUGAUGAUGAAGAAGAAGAAGAAGAAGCCGGAAUAGCGGCGACGACACAAGGAUGCGAAUGCGAUCGCCGAUUGGCACCGGGAAGCCACGAAUUCUGCGCCACCACGCCCACGGCGAUUCUAGCAGCAGUCGCAGCCAUAGCUCCCAAGAACCCUAAACUCUAAAAAGUGGAUAAGCUUCGUCAGAUAUUUGGGCCGAAAACUAUUCCAUGGCAUAUUCCGGACUUCCUUAACUUUAUUAAGCGUUGGCCAGUCGAUAGCGUACGGUCAGGCCCACUUCGCUUUCCUCUCUUUUUUAUCUUUCCUAGGGUUUCCGGUGGCGAGCUCCAGGGCGCGGCGGCCGUUCUCUCUCCAGCUCCUUGAAUCCUCGAUGUUAGAGUAAGUGAUCGCCAUUCCCGGCGAAAGAUCCAGCGAUUAGUGACAUAAGCGGCAGCGGCCAGGGAUUCAGUACAGGGAUUUCCAGAUCAUGUCGCCUCCAGGAGCAGCAGGCGCUGCGUGACACGAAUCGGGAUCGGCAGGGCCGGGAAUUCGCCACAGCGGAGAGGAGAUCUGGUCGCCAUGACGUAUUUCCCUCUCAACACUGGCGCGAAGAUUCCAGCCGUGGGUCUCGGGACUUGGCAAUCCGAUGGAGCGUCGUGUAAGCUAGCGGUCCAAACGGCGCUCGAGGUGGGCUACAGGCAUUUGGACUGCGCGCACUUGUAUGGCAACGAGAUCGAGGUCGGGCAGGCUCUCGGGGCGGCUCUCAAUGGUGGAAUUCCCGGCCUCCGGCGAGAGGACGUGUUCGUCACCUCCAAGUUUUGGUGCACCACUGACACCUCCAAGCGGGUGGAGAUGGCUCUCACGGUCUCGCUCAAGAACUUGGGGGUGUCCUACUUGGAUCUCUAUCUGGUGCACUGGCCGGUGAGCUCCCAAGUCGGGGACGCCACGGAUCCGCCUGGGAAUGCCACCACCGAGCUCAAGAAGAUGUCCCGGAGGCUCAAGUCGAUCUGGCGGGCGAUGGAGGCGCUGGUGGAGAGGGGCAAGGUUCGUGCGAUUGGAGUGAGCAACUUUGGGAUCUCGCAGAUACAGGAGGUGGUGAGCUUCGCGAGGAUAAUUCCAGCAGUCAACCAGGUGAGAGCUAUCAGAACUUUACCAAGUACCCCGAUCUAACUCUCGUUCUUUCCUUGUCAAGGUUGAGCUCCACCCCUUCUGGCGUCAAGACGAGCUCGUCAAGUUCUGCCAGUCCAAAGGGAUCCACGUCUCAGCGCACACUCCUCUGGGAUUUCCUGGAGCCCGCCUUGGCAGCUCCGGCAAUCUCAGCUCCAUGGGAGACGACGAAGUGGAAACCCGGAGCCAACCCAUAGUUUUCUCGAGGUCGCGGUCUGUGCACGCUCCCAUGCUCGGCACUUCAGCGGUGGCUGUCAUUGCCAAUCGGCUCCGCAAGACUCCGGCACAGGUACUUUUGGUUCUUUCUUUUCUUUCAGCCUCAGAGCCCCGUCGUUUUCCUCCGCAUUGAUUGGAAACACGACACGCAAUUGAAUGGCAGGUCAUCUUGCGGUGGGGCGUCCAGAGAGGAACGAGCGUGCUCCCUCGCAGCCUCAAGCCAGAGCGAAUCAAGUCCAACUUCGACAUACUCAACUGGUCCCUCUCGGACGAGGAUUGGAACUCGGUGAACACAAUGGAGCCGCAGCUCAGGCUCAUUGUGAGCAACCAGUCGUAUCUCGGCGAGAACGGGAGGCCACUCCAAGCCGUGAACGAGAUGGACGAUGUCGAUUUCCACUGACUAGACCCAUGGCAAAGGUAAGAUCUCUCUUUCUCUCACACCUCUCUAGCUCACUCGUUUCUUCUUUGAAUGGACUAAAGUUUUGGACUAAAGUUUUGGCAGGACUGGAAGCUCACCUAUAUUUUUGUACAGUACACAAGCAAAAAAGAAACCAACACGAGCGAUAAUAAAUGCUUGCCACGUUAUAGGGUUUAUUGGAAUUAAAAUGCCAUGUUGAUAAUAGUCUCAUGCGGUGGAUGUGACCAUGCGUUGCCACCUUUUUAAAAGCUUAUCUUGAUCAAGCAUGCCAUGCCCUUCAGCGUGUGCCCAGAAAGACAUAGCCAUUUGGGAGCACUCUUACUUACACUAGAGCAAUAAAAGAGCUCCUUUAUACCUUCGCCAUGCUUCAGCAAGUAUCAAAAGGAGAACUACUUUAGCCAGGGCAUCCAAUUGUAGUGUUGUUUGCCAACACCAAAAGGCUUCGAUCAAGUUAACUUCUUGGAAAACCUUUGGAAGCCAAGCACCUUGCAAACAUUGGAACCAAGAUGGAUGAUCCACACUUGACACAUUAAACUCCAUCGUUCAUGGACGGAAGGCAACAGGGGAGUCUCCUACGUGAGCCUAGCGAGAACUUCUGGGGCGGACAUCACAGCAUGCUUUGGAGCCCGCUUCAAGUAGUGUGGAAUCCAGGUAGCAAAACCCUCUGCACUGGCAAACCCUCUGGAUUGCAAGAAACUUCUGAAGAUUACAGAUUCAGCUCUCUCUUGUCGAAGUACGUAGUGUCCGAAUCAUCGACUGAUAAGACACUGCCUCUCGUAGACUGAUCCGUUCAAUUGCUGUCUUAAAACCUGCCGGAAUGCGGCCCUGUCAAAACCCUGCCAAAACCAAGAGAGGAAGCAUCAAACAUGGCGAUGGAGGAAGCAGUGACCCAGGGAGUUGCGUGACUUUUUCACCGUAAAAAAGUUACGGGGUUUCAUGCAUCCUCAAAUCACUUCUGUUUCUCUUCGCCUCUCAUCUCCAGCUCUAAUCUCUCUCUCUCUCUCUCUUUCAGCUCCGGAUGGCUGCGGCAUUGGGCGCGCAGCGGUCGAGCUAAUGUGAUCAUCCUCGCGGGAAAUCGAUCCAUCGUCCUUAUCAACUGGCAAUGGAACUUGGUUCAUAGCUAAGGAGUGGUUCUUCUUUGUUUCGAUUUUUCUUCAGAUUGAUCACUGGGGAUACUUCUUUCCUUUCGUUUUUAUUUUUCAGGCAUGCCAGCAAGGUCGAGUUCUUUGGUUUGGCCGAUGAGUUGAGAGAGCAUAAGGAGCAGAAUUCCAUGUCUUUCAGUGUCACAGGACAACGUUUGCAACUGAGGGGAAUGGUAAAUGUUGUUGCAUUUGGAACCAUCAGGUCUUCCUCAAGAAGCAACGUGUACUUGACCCCAAUCAAUUUAUGAUUGUUGUGAAAACACAAACAACGUUUGCGGUGCCAAAAAGCAUUUUCCAGCUCAGAAUUAAGCAGGGAGAAGAAAAAGGCAAUUUCACAUUUUCCGUCUGAAAGAAUGAAUUAUGAACAUCAAGCUUAGCAUGCAUACCAUAGGCAUCCAGAUCCAAGUGCCUCAGACCUCUACUUAAUCAUCUUCUUGACCAACUUUAGAUACAGGAGCAAGCGCCGGUACACCAGUAGUAGCAAAGACUUCCUCACCAUGGUCUUACACUAGGACUUAUGUUGAUCACACAGCUUUCUUUUGAUAUAGUGAGGAUGGAACGCAGUACAAAACUGUGGCUUGAUGGAGGCCACUGUUUGUGCAUUCUCUCUUCCGAGGAAGGACACUAGGCGGCUUCAAGCACAGGUCACAAACAAUUUCUUUCACUCAAUUCUUCCUUUCUUUCGUCGCUUCCAAACCAUACUUCUACCAAGUGAGCGAAGACUGGAAACGGGAAGAGACGCACGAGAAGGCUUUGCACGCAUCCUUUCUCAGCGUUUGGCAUCAGCUGCGACACAAAGCUACGGGCAAAGUAACUGUUGCGUCCUUCCAUCGAUUUGCUACUCAGACAGGGUAGUAACUUUGCGUGAUCAGAUGCCGUCCAUGUUACUGGUCUUCAUUAGCAACUUUUUCGUGCAGAAAACAAAAAACUAAUCACCAAAGUUUAAAUGCUACAAACACUCAGUAUAUAUAGAAAUAUCACUAAAUCUUCCUUCCCAGCUUGCACUUACACCAUCAAACGGUGUAGAAAGUUGUGUUGCUUGCAUCCGACAAGAUCCGAAUCCACCAGCAACCUCUGUUUUGUAAGAUUUCUCCGCCCACAUUUUCUCUUCCAGCAGAAAGAGAGCCACCUUCUCUCCAGCCGAUGAAAAAGGCAUCACUCCCGAUUAAAUCACAUAGUGUUAAGCCACCGCCUUCAAGGUUUUGGUCCAAGUACCUAGCCAUGCCUGCGAGAACCUGAUCCUGUCCACUGCACAUCCUGAUGUAUUUCCAUCGCAAGCCUGGAAGUCAGUGAGGCAGGAGCCUUCUAUUCCUCCUCCACGACCUCCUGAUCACCGAGAAGAGGUAGAGGAAGAAGAGGAAGAGCAGCGCCACCAGCAGCCCGGCAAGGAUUGGAAGAAGCAGCGGGGUUGCUGCCACAGCCGUCGCCUGUAAGUUGAGAUCGUUGGAGGAAGCCAGCUGAAGAUCUGCAUUGUUGCCCCUGCCUUCGCCUUCCAACAGCGAGCUCAGGAUGGCAUUGCUGCUGCUAAUGCCCUCUCCUUCAAAUAACUCGAUGAAAUCAUUGACACUGCCGCUGCUCAUACCGGCGUCAUACAAUAAACUUUGAGAGGUCGAUGUUGAAGUCUCUUCAACUUCUUGAAACUUUUCUGUGUUGAUCCUCUUGGCCUUCCCACCAUCCUUGUCCAAGCUUCGAGGGAACCACCGCCACAUAGAAGGUGGUGGCGAUGGUGAAGCACUGCCACUGUUGCUGCUGCUGCUAGCUUUCUUAGUGUCACCACUCCUGUCGAUUUCCCUCCUGGCCAGUAACUUUCGAGAUGAUCCUGCUGCUGCAUGAGACUUUAGCACCUGUUCAAUAUCUUAGUACGAAUACAUCUGAUUUCUGUCAGCAGAGACAUACCUUGUAGGAUGACUCCUUCGCCAUUGCUGCCGCACUGUUCUUGUAUGGAAGCGUCCUGACGGUGCUGGUGCCAUCGCCUUGCAAGCUCCGCCAAAAGACUGAAGCUGGUGUCGAUGAAAUAUCAGCUUGCCUCAACUUUCGAAAUCCUGCUGCAUGAUGAGACUUUAGCACCUGUUCAGUGUCCAUCUUAGUACGAAUACAUCUGAUUAGAGACAUACCGUGUAGGAUGACUCCUCGGCCACAAGUUCUUCGUUAUUCUUGUCUGGAGGCUUUCUCACGGUGCUGGUCCCAUCGCCUCGCAAGCUCUGCCAGAAGACUGCAGCCGGUGGCGAUGAAAUACCACCUUGUUCUUCUCCAUCUUCUUGCACUGCUGCAAACUUCUGCCUCAGUGGAGCUAUGAAGCGAUCCACCCCGUGGAAUACAGGACCAUUCUCGCUGAUGGGAGGAGCUGGUGCUGCUUCCAGUAGCAUCCGUCGAGAGGUAAUCACUGGGAGCCGAGAAGUGAUCACUGGGAAUCGAUGCCACCCCAGAAAGUUCUUGAGUUCUUCCAAUAAUUCCUGGGACGUCACCUCAUCCUCCUCCAAGCCCGCGUCCAAAAGCCUGCUCCAUAUUUCUGCUUUUAUGGACCGAAGAGUUUCCGGUAACUUCCAAGUCCAGGUCUCAAUCAGCUGCUUAAGUUCCUCCACCUCUAGGUGCAUAUCAGCUUUGGACGGUAGCUCCAGCGAUGGGAGAGGCGACCGCAGUGAAUCCAGACUCCAGGUCCGAAACAAGCUCUUGAUGUCCUCCCAGCUCAGGUUUUCAUCGUCGUCAUCGUUGAGUCCAGUCGUCUUGCCACCAAAAGAAGAAUACUGAACUGAAUCCACAGUGCCAACCAUGACCGCCUCCGGCUGCAAGAGAAGAUUGGGGUGAGCCCGUAAAGCAAACCAUCUUAGCGCUCGAGUUACCUCUUGCAAAUCAUCCUCGAGUACAGGUAAUGGUGGUGGAUCAUACUCGGGACCACUAGGUGCUGGGUCACUGCUGGUGAUCACUGCCUCGAGCUGUGAGGGUGGUGCUACCGAGGACGAACCAAAGUAAUCCUCCAGCUCGAUUGGAGUCACUACCUCUCGCACAAAGCUCAUCGCCGGCUGCAAGAGAAGAUUAACAAGAGGAGCAGACCAUAUAGAUCGAGUUACCUCUUGCAAAUCCUCCAAUGGUGGUGCAUCAUACUCUGGAACACUUGAUGCUGCAUCACUGCUGGCGAUCACUGCCUCGACCUCGAGCUGCGAGGGCAGUGCUGGGAAAUCCUCCGCUUGCUUGUCCGAUCGCGCUGAUGCUGCUGCGCCAGGAAUCUGCACGCACCCGAAAAAUGUCAAAAAAAAAGAGAAGAGAACAGGAGCGAGCUCUACAUACUUCCAGGAGGAUCUUCAAUCCUGUGGCCUGUGUGCUUGCCUGUGUGCUUUCUGCCUGUGCGCUUGGAGCGCGUCGCAACCACGAGAACGCCAACGCCAAAGCUUCCAUCGCCGCCAAUAUAAUAGGGCAUAAGAAAAAGAGGGUUACUAUGUAAAGUAAAAUAAAAAUGAAUUGAAAUAUCGUGAAAGGUCCGAUGAUCGUUAUCUAUGGGUAGAUACUGAAUCUCCUUCAUAUAGAAAUAGAAACACCACUUAUCUGCCGGAUCCAUCCCAGAUCUUAUUCCAGGAUCACCACUAUGACCUUAUGAAUAUGCACCAUUUUCCGUCAACUCUGGUGGUCGAAAAACCAAUUUCGUCGUCUAUUGGGGAGAGCGAUGUCGCACAAGUUUGCAACAGUGCAGCAAUAGCUACAACCACCCAACUGAUUACGGACACAACAGUAGUGCCUCUUCUUGGGAUUGCACUCCUCCAAACGGGUUGCACCGCCAAAUGGGUUAAGCAGACGGAGCCACAACAGAGCACAAAGAUUUCAUUCAAUACAAUGGCCAACAUGCUUAUGUUUAAAAGGCGUGCAUUCUCUUCAGGCGUUAGACAGCCCCACAAAUACAAGUGCCAUUGCAAGCAGCAAGAGGAGGCAGAAUGAGGUGGGAUAUCUGGUGCGAAUCCUGUAUUUUUUUUUUCAUUUUUGUACUAAAAAAGGUUCUUUUUGUUAAUCAAUGUCUUUUAACAUUUUGUCCAGCAGGGUGCCAGGUAUGCCCUCGCUGCCACCUUGUCAACUUUAAAGAUUCUUGUCUAUCAAGAGUGCUGGAGCUCCGGUUUUGAACGUAACCACGCCUAAUCAUUGAUCUAAAACCUUGCUAUUGUAGAGAAAGCAUGCUGAGGCAAAUGGUAAAACAUGCAUUCACCAUCAAGUAAUAGUAUCGUACUUGUCUCUUGCAACUCAGCAUACUCAGUUUGUAGAAUUUAAAACUCAAAAGUUGUCUAGAGUUUGCCCAUACCUUUCCAUGCAAGAGAUUGUCACGUCAGAGCCCUGCAUAGUACGCGUUUCUCUUCCCUUGGACCCAAUCCCUAUCAUCAGCAAACAUAAAUUGCCCGAUCUCAACUUCUUGCGGUAUCAGAAAAUGGUUUUGGUUUCCACGAAGGAUACUCCUUGUCACUUUUUGUGUGCUGAAUUCCUGCUAGUCUCAGCCAUGGAUGUGUUUCUCUGGACUUGAGAUCUGUAAAACUAGAGCUUGAGGUAGGAGUAUGUCUGCACAUGUCUCGCUAGCUCCAUCAACGCCAAUGUCUUUGAUGCUAUGCCAGGGCCGUGGAAGUUAUUAUGAGUCAGACAUUCCUUCCGGUCAAAUUUUUGCAAAUAAAGUUUCCUAUUGAAACUCUUUUCCCAUAUAAAAAAAGCAGGAGCCACUUCAACAUGCAAUUGGGUAAAUACACGAUAGAGUGAUUCAAUAAAGUGGUAAAAAGUAAUCAAAACUUUAUUCAUGUAUUUUUUGUCACAAAUUAAAAUUUUACAAUUGGUUUUAUUUUCAAAAUAAUUGUGAUCUUCACAACACUAAUUCAAAAAGUUUUCAAAUAUUUUUUAAUAAAAAGUUAUGAGGUGGUUUUAGUGUCAUUUAAAUUAUUUUUUAUUACUUUGUUGUACCGCUCAAUUAUCACCUACGGUUUUGAUACAAAAUGGAUAUGAAAGUGGAUAUAGUUUCUGAGUAAAUAUUGAAGAACCAGAUAGUGUAAAUGAUGGUUAUAGCUUCUUUCUCAACCUCUUAAGGAUCUUUUGGAGUUUCUCAAAAGCAUACAAGUGAGUUGAUGACUAGGUAAAUGACUUAUCCUUUCUAGAGGGGAAGAAACUUGAGCAUAAUCUUGGAUGAAACACUUAAAGAACUUUGAAACUUUGGUUAUUUGGGCAUGGAAUGAGGUUAAAUAUAAUGUAUAUGAUUAUGGGAUAAAACUUGAAUAUACUCUCACAUUUUUAGAACUUGGGAUAAAAUAGUUAUUAAAGGUUCUCUCAUCAAAUAAUUUCAGAGCAAAUGACAUGAGUAUUGAUUAGUAGCCACUUAAAAUAUAAUAUACCUUUGAAUUAAGUAUAUUCUUACUCUUAAUUCAUAAAUACAUUCUUUGUUUUGUAAGGCAUCUACUGAUAAAGGAAUCCAUUGUGUAAUUGGAUGAUUAGUUGUUUUAUAUGAAAUAACCAAUCUAUAUAAUGGAAAGAUUGACAAAUUCAAUGUGGAAAUGGAGGUGUUAGUUUUCCUUAGUUCAAUAAAUAUUGCUAAUAAAUGAGCACAUUAAAAUUGCUAUGCUAGCCCUUAUAUUUGAUUUCAAAAUCACACUAAUUUUGUAUUUGGUUUAAGUGCUCUAUAUGUAUAGUCCCAUUUUAGACACCCAAAAGUACCACUGACAUAUUAAUUUCUUAUGCUAUGAAAAAACAGAAUAUGGUGUAGGUAGUUUUAGACUACUAAUGAGAUAAUAUAAACAAAUAUACCACAAUUGAUUUAAAGCAUAAAUGCCUAUUCACUAAGUCCCACUAACUUGAACUUCCUCACUAUGUAACUAUAUCCUUUGUCACUAAGUAAAAACCACUCCUCUUCCUUUCUAUGGUUUGUGAAUCACAGCUCCAAGGCAUCCUCAUGUGCCUAAGUUAGCCUUCUCGCUAAGAGUAUAUAAUCAAGGUUGGGACUCUAAUUUAACCUUUGCAUAUGCAUCUACAGAUGGCAUCAUAUAAGAUGCUUAGUAUGUGAUGCACCAAACUUAAAUUUAUGGUAAUUAGCUUUUCUUUCAUAAGUGCAUUACGGAUCACAACUUAAAAACCUCAUUCAUCCUAACUUUCAUGUUCUCUCACUGGGUAAAUUAGGUAAUCAACUUAUAAUCAUACAUGGACUUCUCCAUGUUUGGCCUUAUGGGCCUUCUUUUUUAAAGUUAACUCUAGGAAUUUAAUUUUUUUGACACCAAGUCACUUAACUGUAAGUAAAAGAGACAAUCCAUUAGGGUUCAAAUAUAAAUAUAAAGGAUUUAUAAAAAAGAGUGCACCCCCUUUUUCAAUUGGUUAAGGGAUAUUUGGGGUUAAGCAUCUUUAGAUUUAAGUAAUAUUUUACUGUAUAACCUCCUAAAUGAAAAGUCUAAAUUCAAGAGAUUAUAUUAAUCCACGUAAAAUGGUUCUAUGCAUAAGCAAAUCCUCAAAUUCCAAACUUCUAUUUAAAGUAAUUCUUAUGAAUAUGUAGGGAUUACUUCCCUAACCUUGAUAGCUUAACUUUAUAGCAAGCUUCAAAACUUCUACUCUAAUUUCACAUAUAAUUACAAACCAAUUAUACUUGGUUUCCUAAUUACUAUUUUACUCAAAUUUGCCUUUGGAAUAAUAAGGGGAUUUCACCCUUUAGUUUGUCAAGACCUCUCUUUUCACAAAUUUUCUACUUAUCAUUUAGUUUAAUAUAUACACUUUCAUACUUUAGACUCUUUAUAGUACUAUGGUUGCAAGCAGUAAAUCCUAGAUUAAGUGACUAAAGUAAAAUGAAAAAUUUAAUCUCAAAACUAAAUUAUUUAUAAUUCCAAAAUAAGUGAAAUUUACUUUAUAACUCACAUAGAUUGGGAAUAUCAACUAUUUGAUCUCCUAUGGGAGAUAGAGUUAGCUUUUGAAUAUUUUACCAAGUCACCCCACUUGUCCAUCCAUUUUCAACUUAGCUUUGGACUCCUCAAUCAUCACCCACCAUAUAAGUAGAGCCUUCCUUAGUCAUACUAGGCUUUAGACUCCUUAAUCAUCACCCACCACAUAAAUGUAACCUUCCUUAGUCAUACUAGCCCUACUAGUUCCAUUAGAAUCCUUCCUUUACCAUCCCAUAGUGACUCACUAAACCCUCCAAGGUUUUGGAGAUAAUUAUUUUAGGCUUUCACCCUUAGUCUCGAAUUUGAUCUCAAACUUAGUCUUGGACCUAGUUUUGGAUUUAGUUUUGGAUUUGGUUGUAGACUUAGUUUCAAACUGAGUCUCAGACUUAGAUGUAAGCCACAAUUUAUUUUUUUCAAUUUGUUAACUUACCUCGUCUAUCCGACCACCACGGCCUUGGCUUUAGCCUUAGUUAAGUUUGUGAAACACAAAAUCCCUAAGCCCCAAAGUGGAGCCGGAAGGGCGCCACAUGGUAGUGGCCGAAGCAAAAGCCAAACGAGCGUAACAUGUUUGGACUAAAAGCUCCGACUUGAAAGGUCGAGAGUGGGAGUGGAACUCCCAACAAAAUGCUCGAGGAACAAGCGCGAAGCGAGCAAUAAGCGAGGCUCUAAAAAGGGACCCAAAAGGACCAAGAUGGAGUCCGCGAUGGAGUCCGAGGUGGAGUCUGAGAUGGAGUCUGAGAUGGACCUGAGAUGGAGUCCGAGAUGGACCGAGACGGAGUCCGAGAUGGAGUCCAAGGUGGAGUCCGAGAUGGAGUCCGAGAUGGACCCGAGAUGGAGUCCGAGAUGGACCGAGACGGAGUCCGAGAUGGAGUCUGAGAUGGACCCAAGAUGGAAUCCAAGAUGGAGUCCGAGAAGGACUCGAGAUGGAGUCCGAGGUCGAGACCGAGACCGGGACCGAGACCGAGACCGAGACCGAGACCGAGACCGAGACCGGGACCAAGACUGAGACCGAGGCCAAGGCCGAGACCGAGCCCGAGCCCGAGUCUGAGUCCAAGUCCGAGUCCGAGUUCGAGCUUGAGAAGGUGAAAGCCCAAAGCGUUCGUCUCCCAGACCCUAGGGGGUUUGGUGAGCUCCAAAAGUAUAGUAAGGGGGAGGACUGUAGUGGAGCCAGUUUGGCCCAGGAAGGCCAAACCCAGUGUUGGGUAAUGAACUGACCACUGGGAAGUCCAAGACUAGAGUGAAUACGGACUGACAAGCGGGGUAGCUUGGUGAAGUGUUCAAGAGCCGGCUCUAGUUCCCCCGGGAGAUCGAUUGGCCGAUGCUCCCAAUCCAAGUGUGGGUGGCACUACCUACUUGGAUACCUGGUGUGGCUCAACAGAACCUCGCUCUAAGCACAUGGCUAAAGCACCUAAAGGCGGAAGGUGGGGAGAGUACCCGUGGGCCACGGUGUUCCGAAAUAUUGUCCCGAAGUCCCAAAUGGGGGAAACCGGGCCUGUGGGCCUUGAUCUGGUGGCAGUGCUGGUGAACAUAGCCAUGGACGGAAAAGGGACUUGGCAGGAACUGACAAAGGGAUAUUGGGGAAGGCUAUUCCCCAUGUUUGUGGGCAUCCUAAGGAUGCUAAGGAGUGGAUUUGGGAAGACCACUUGUGGAUGGAUGGCCCAGUCUUGGAGAGACGGGAUUGUGAUACAAGUGGUAUUGGACCACUAGUGCGGCAAAGGUGAAUGGGCAUGGCCUUAGCAUAACGGGCUGAUAUGUCUAUAGUACCUUUGGGUGUCGAUCUUGGGACUGGACACGUGGAGCACUUGGACUAAGUGCAAGGGAUGAGUGGCAUGGAUGCCAUUCUCGGGACUAGUAAGUCCCAAGUCCUGAAUUGAACUUAAGGAGGUUGUGAAUGAGACUCUUCCAAGUGGACAGAGGUGUGGUUAAGUGACUAAAGUAAAAUGGAAAAAUUAGUCACUUACAACUUGGUAUCAGAGUUGUUCCUUAGUCCGACUUUUAUUGGUGUUGAAGUAUACCACCACUAGUAUUGGCAUUGGAAGGUCCUAAGAGUGGGCCUAUCCUUAAGGAGUAGCAUGUUGAGAGGACAUGGCUCUCCACUCAAGUUCAUGCAUGAACUUGGGCGCGAUGUGGUGGAUAGAAAAGGGGCCAGUAAGGGAACGACUUUGGGAUCUUGGGAACAGUAUAAGGGUUUCCUCAGAGAGUUGAGAAUGUGAUCCAGAUGAGUGUUUGACGUAGCCAACUGGCUAAUGUAGUUGUGGUAAAUGACUAUAGUUAAAAUCACGUGAAAGAUAGGGACUCCAAAGCAAUAAAGGAGUCACAAGAUUAUCCUCAUAUAGUUGAGGUUAGUGCUUAUGAAUGUGAGACCAAAAGUAAUGACCACAGGAGGUCAAAUACAGAAAAGGACACGGUUCUUUCAAGGUUCCCAAAGAUGAUUCUAGGUAGCUUAGUACCUAGAAAGGCCAAGUGUAAAUGGUUCAAAGCACAUGCGAAAUCAGAGUGGCGCAACAGAAGCGUGGUCUUAAAGCUUGCCAUGAGGCAAGGCUAUCAAGGUUAGGGAAGUAGUUCCCGAGUGUUCAAAGAGAGGGCUUUGAACGAAAAUCGAUGGUCAACGACUUUCACGCUUAUGCAGGAACCAUGUUACAGUGGUCGGAGGACUUGCCAAGCGAGAUUAGCAAGUUGGGGGAACGAAUACCCUAGUUGAAGGUGAUUACUUAUAAAGGGUGGGCCACGGGGCCAAGCAUGGAGGAGUCCAUGCAUGAUCACGGACUUGUCAAGUGAGAGGACUUGGCAGUGUGGAGGAACUAGGUUCCUAAGCUGUGAUCUGUAGCGCGCUUUAAAUAUAAGUUGGUGCACCGGUGUGGGGAGUCAUGCUAGGCAUCUAGGGUGAUACCGUCCGUAGAUGCAUAUAUGGAGGUUGGGUCCAAGUCCCAACCCUCUAGUGCUUGGGUUCGAGUCCUAAAUCAUUAGGGUGUGGUGAUGGUUUGGAAUAUGAAGACACUCAUAUUUCGGUGGUCAUGGACUCUCAGUGAGGAGACUGGUUUGUGUCAAGACCCCUAACAAGAUCAAGACUAGAAAAUGCUAAAGACAAAGAGAAAAAGCUAGUGAAAACAAAGAAGAGGCCUUAGACUGGUGUUGAUUCAAAUUGUGGAGAAAUGGAACAAGGCUAAUUUAUAUAUACUAUAGGUUGAUGAAGCUCCACCACUCUUGGAUCGAAGAUGGCCUAAAUAUAGUUGAGGUUGAGGAGGUGCCACAUCAAUAUCAAGAAUGUGGCUCGAUACUCAGGAAUCGGGAAGUGUUUUGAGAGUCAGGAAUAGGGAAGUGUCUCGAGAGUCAGGAAUAGGGAAGUGUCUCGAGAAUCAGGAAUGUGGUCUGCAGGUCAGGAAUCCAAUGAGAUUCAGGAAUGUGGCAAGGAUUGGGGGAUUCCUGACAGCACCCCCUCCUCAAGAACGAGUGGAACGAGAAUGUGAAUGAGAACGACGAGGAGGAUGAGAUGAGCGGCGAGGGAUGGGAGAUGGAGAAAAAGAAUGAGGACUGGGAUGACUAGGAUAGCGGCGAUGGAAGUCCUGAACAAGGUCAGGAGAAUGAAUUAGGUUGUCUGCAGGUUCCCAAGUGCGUUCUUUAGGCCCGUAACCCUUUCAGUCGACCAGAUAGUAGAGUUUAGACCGUGAAAUCUUUGAAUCAAGGAUGUCCUGAACCUCGUACUCAGACCCAUCCUCGAGCUGCACUGGUGGAGGUGGAGGAAUGACCCGAUUGGGAAUAGGACUGGGAAUAUAAGGCUCAAGGAGAGAGGAAUGAAAAACGGGGUGAAUUUGAUAUGAGGAGGGAAGUGCAAAGCGAUAAGUGACAGGAUUAAUGAUGGCAGUGAUAGGGAAAGGACCGAGGCGUUUGAAAUCAAGUUUUGGACAGGGCUUGGUGGUGGAGAUAUUUCACCUGAGGAGCCAAACUUUAUCCCCGAUAUUGUAAGGGGGACAAUCCUGACGAUGGACAUUGGCAAAUGUUUUGUGAGAUUCCUGAGCACGAUGGAGGUGGAAGGAGAUGGAGUUGUGGAUUUCUUGGAGGUUGGAGACAAAUGCCUCAGAGCGGGGAUUUGAAUGAGAGGAUUCGGAUGGAGAAGGAAGUGAGAGAUUGAAUCGGGGAUUUCGGCUAGAGUUUGCAAAGAAGGGGGAAAUUCGAAGAGAGGAGUGAAUAGAGUUGUUAUAGGAGAACUCAGCAAGGGGAAGGAUAUCGAACCAGUUAUCCUGAUGAUAGUUGAUGAAGCACCUCAAGAAUUGUUCCAACGUCUGAAUCGUUCGCUCGGACUGCCCAUCAGUUUGAGGAUGAUACGCCGAAGAAAGGUUGGCCUUCACUCCAAGCAGCUGCAAAAACCGUUGCCAGAAAUGAGAGAUGAACUGAGGCCCCCGAUCUGAAACCACAUCUAUAGGAAUCCCAUGAAGUUGGAAAAUUUCCCUGAAUACCAGUUUUGCCAUGUCCUCGCCCGAAAACUCCUUGGUACAUGGCAAGAAGUGCGCCAUCUUUGUGAAGCGAUCCACCACGACUAAAAUGCUGUUGAAGCCUCCAGAACUCGGAAGAUCACUCAAGAAAUCCAUGGAGAUGGAUUCCCAAGGACCUGAAGGGACCGGAAGGGAACGAAGCAAACCUGAAGGAAGGUGGCGAGGUACUUUAUUCCGGGCGCAAGUGUCACAGGAGGUAACAAAAGCUUUGAUGUAGUCGUCCAUGUGAGGCCACCAAAAGUCCCGUGCAACUAGCUCAUAGGUUUUCGCAAUGCUGAAGUGACCAGCAGUCGGGCUAUCGUGGCACGCCAUUAGGACCAACCUUCGAGCAUCACCUUCAGGAACGUAAAGCUGCUCCCCACGGUAUAAUAAGCCAUCUAAGAACUCGAACUCGUCAAAUCGCCAGCAGUCGGGAGUCACAGGGUGUCCAGCCUGAAGAUGGGGGAAAAUGUCGCUGGCGAGAUCAUCGGAUUGAAGAUCGUUUCUGAUGGCAUCCAUCAAGGAAGAGUCCUGAAGGGCCAGGGAAAUUGCCAUAAUUUGAAGCCGAUCAGGACCGAGGAUAAUUUGAUCUUGUUGAUCGAAGGCAGGAUUACCAGGCCUGAGACUAAGAUAGGAGCGCCUUGAAAGAGCAUCAGGAAGGCCUUGAAGCUUUCCAGGUCUGUACUUGAUAACAUAGUCAAACCGACUCAGGAAUUGUGCCCACCUUGCUCGACGACGGCUUAAAACUCGAGAAGUGGCAAAGUACUCGAGAUUUUUGUGAUCCGUCCAGACUGUUGUUUGAUGGCCCGCCCCCUCCAAGAAACGGCACCACUCUCCAAAGGAAUCCACGAUGGCAAGGAGCUCCUUGUCGUGGAUUUCGUAAUUGAUCUCCGCAGGCUGGAAUUUCCGAGAAUGGAAAGCGACUAGAUGAAGUUCUUGAUCCACUCCGAGUUGAGACAGCACAGCACCGAUGGCAAAGUCGGAGGCGUCAGCCUCGAUGAAGAAAGGUUGUGAGGAAUCAGCAUGGAUCAAAACGGGAGCAGAACUGAAGGCUGCCUUGAGAGUGUCGAAGGCGUGCUGGGCAGCAGUAGACCAAGAGAAGGGAACAUCCUUGCGAGUGAGAUGCGUGAGAGGAAGGACAAUGUCAGAGUAGUGAUCAAUGAACUCGAGCAAUCGGGGAGGCUUCUUGGGACACACAACUGCUUUGUGAUUAGGAUCAGCACAGUAGAGGCAAAGAUUAUGAGAUAUUCGACGUUGCUUCUUAGCAGAACUCAACUUCCCUCUAAUGAGUCGGGGAGUACCAGAAAUAUCCAUCGGGACCGGAGCAGUAGGUUCAGGACUAUGCCCCGAAGACUCAAGCUGGGAUUCCUGAGACUGGGACGGAAAAACAGCGGCACGGCGACUUUCCUGACGACGUUCAAAGAGACGAUUGUCACAUCGAACAGCUUUGUUGAUGGCGUCCGACAGGUCCUUGGGAUCCUCCAUGGUGAGCAACAAAUCCUUGACACCGUUGUUGAGGCCGAAACAAAAUUGGUCAAUCAGGGCCCGCUCAUCCCACUGAGUGUCCAAGGCAAGGAGUUGGAACUCUGCAGCAUAGAUCGAGGCAGGACAAGACCCCUGAGAGAGACGUCUCAUCUUUGUGGUAGCAGCCCAAACCCGAUCCGUCUUGCCAAAACAUGCUUCGAGCUUCUCUUUGAACAAUUGAAGAUCCAUCAGCUCCGGAACCACGACCCCUUUCAUGCUCUUCUCCAGAAGAGGAGAAAACCAUGACAAAGCUGCACCCUUGAGCAACGUCCCAAUCGCGCUGAUUUGAGACUCGGGAGUGGGGUACCGCCGAUGUUGAAGUGCAAAGAUCAGCUCCAUUUGGUUCAAAAAUCCACGAAGCUCCGAACGCUUGCCUGAAAACUUCACCGGGAAACUCACCUUCGGUUCAGGAACUUUGUUGGAUCCUUGAGCCGAAAGUGAAGCAAGCUCCUUACUGCAUGCAAAGAAGGGUCGCCUUCAGCUCGGUAUUCUCAGACUGGAUUUUUGCAAGGACUUCGGCAAAGAAAUCAAAAUGGCUUGGAGACUCCAUUGGCAAGAAGAAAGAAAAGAAAGGGGGAAAAAGACAAAGGCAAUCAAAUAAUCAAAGCGAGCUAAAAGAAAAGCAAAAACCACAAUCUAAAUCAAAUUGUCAAGACCCCCAACAAGAUCAAGACUGGAAAAUGCUAAAGACAAAGAGAAAAAGCUAGUGAAAACAAAGAAGAGGCCUUAGACUGGUGUUGAUUCAGAUUGUGGAGAAAUGGAACAAGGCUAACCUAUAUAUACUAUAGGUUGAUGAAGCUCCACCACUCUUGGAUCGAAGACGGCCUAAAUAUAGCUGAGGUCGAGGAGGUGCCACAUCAAUAUCAGGAAUGUGGCUCGAGACUCAGGAAUCGGGAAGUGUUUUGAGAGUCAGGAAUAGGGAAGUGUCUCGAGAGUCAGGAAUAGGGAAGUGUCUCGAGAAUCAGGAAUGUGGUCUGCAGGUCAGGAAUCUGACGAGAGUCAGGAAUGUGGCAAGGAUUGGGGGAUUCCUGACAGUUUGGGCACACUGCCAAGCGAGGGAUGCCUCGGAGUCGUGAUGCACGGUUAGAUUGUUUAGAGUGAAAGCUCGGCAUAUUUAACUUGAACACUUUGGUGCAAAAGGGCACCAAAGACAUGGUGAAUGAGGUGAGGACACCCAAGUCUCAGUUGCUAUAGAUCCUUGGCCGAAAGGGCUGGCUUGGGCACACCGCCAAAUGUGGGAGAUGCCCCCGGGGUCAUAGUCAACAAUUUAAAAGGGUCUGGAAGACUUAGUUCCUAUUGGUAGACCUGUUAAGGGGUCAAGAUGAGAUCACCAGGUGAUCUUGUGGCUAAAGUCUUUUUUUGGGUUAAGGAAUAUGAUUCCCCGUUCAAAGUGUUGAUUUGAACUACUGAUAAUGGUGUGGCUUGGUCGAGGUGACCAAGUGGGAAGGACACCUAAAGGGAAAUCAAUUGUGCCAAUACGAUGGUAUAGUAGGUCUAAGAAAGUAGUCUCGAGGAGAGACCCAUGAGAGGGUCACAAUGUUGGGCCAUGGAAGGGGCCUAUAGCAAAAGUUGCUAAAGAGACCUACUAGGGGUGAGCACCCUCUGGACUUGGCGAAGUGGAGUUUUGCCAUGGAACCAAAAGAAUACCUCAAGGAGGGAGGUAGUGAUCCUAUGUUGCUUGAUGUAACAAUCAAUGGAUAGGAGCAAAAGACUAAUGGCCAAGUUUAGGCCAUGGAAUUUAAUGGGAGGAAUCCAAAUGGCAAGGUUAGCUAAGGAACACUUAUGUGUUUGAUGCUAACGGAUUGCGGGAAAGGAAGUGGACUUCCAAGGAUAGAUUCCCAAGUGCUCCAAUUUGGCAAGUAAAAGCUCCAAGUGAGGAGUGGCAAAGUAGCCAAAGGAUAGGGUCGUGGACAGCCCAGGCACAAAUGAUGAUAAUUGGAACGUAGUGCCAAGGGUGGCACAAAAUAGAAAAGAGGAUGAUGGUGCCCUCAAGUAAAGAACUUCCUAGGAUAAGGAAGUGGAGUUGCACUAUGUGCAACGUAAGGUGUCGGAGACACCUAGGAAAUUGACUGUGAAAAGUCAAAAUUAAAAGUUCCAAGUGCAAAGGUUAUGUCCAUGGAAUCUGAGAAGAAUAAGUAGUGGAAUUGAGUUAGAGAAGGUGUCUCUAACCAGUUUAGCGGGAACUGAACCAAUAAAAGGGAGCAAACCACCCUAGGUGGUCAAGUGAGUCUCUAGGUUGGAGAGACUAUACUCCUUAGAGGAUGAACAAGGCAAAGUGAGCCUUCGGGGUCAAACCAUAGAAAAAUAUUGGUUGGGUGCCAAGGAUGGAAAUGGUAAUACUUGCGGGUGUUAGUUUAUAAAAGGGUUUACCGUUCGAUGAGGACAUCAAAAUUCGUCUAUGGGUGGUGGAGUUGUGAGACACAAAAUCCCUAAGCCCCAAAGUGGAGCCGGAAGGGCGCCACAUGGUAGUGGCCGAAGCAAAAGCCAAACGAGCGUAACACGUUUGGACUAAAAGCUCCGACUUGAAAGGUCGAGAGCGGGAGUGGAACUCCCAACAAAAUGCUUGAGGAACAAGCACGAAGCGAGCAAUAAGUGAGGCUCCAAAAAGGGACCCAAAAGGACCGAGAUGGAGUCCGAGAUAGAGUCCAAGGUGGAGUCCGAAAUGGAGUCCGAGAUGGACUUGAGAUGGAGACCGAGAUGGACCGAGAUGGAGUCCGAGAUGGAGUCCGAGGUGGAGUCCGAGAUGGAGUCCAAGAUGGACCCGAGAUGGAGUCCGAGAUGGACCGAGACGGAGUCCGAGAUGGAGUCUGAGAUGGACCUGAGAUGGAAUCCAAGAUGGAGUCCGAGAAGGACCUGAGAUGGAGUCCGAGAAGGACUUGAGAUGGAGUCUGAGGUCGAGACCAAGACCGGGACCAAGACCGAGACCGAGACCGGGACCGGGAUCGAGACCGAGACUAAGGCCAAGGCCGAGACCAAGCCCGAGCCCGAGUCCGAGUCCGAGUCCAAGUCUGAGUCCGAGUCCGAGUUCGAGUUCGAGCCUGAGAGGGUGAAAGCCCAAAGCGUUCGUCUCCCAGACCCUAGGGGGUUUAGUGAGCUCCAAAAGUAUAGUAAGGGGGAGGACUGUAGUGGAGCCAGUUUGGCCCAGGAAGGCCAGACCUAGUGUUGGGUGAUGAACUAACCACUGGGAAGUCCAAGACUAGAGUGAAUACGAACCGACAAGCGGGGUAGCUUGGUGAAGUGUUCAAGAGCCGGCUCUAGUUCCCCCGGGAGAUCGAUUGGCCGAUGCUCCCAAUCCAAGUGUGGGUGGCACUACCUACUUGGAUACCAGGUGUGGCUCAACGGAACCUCGCUCUAAGCACAUGGCUAAAGCACCUAAAGGCGGAAGGUGGGGAGAGUACCCACGGGGCUCGCAUAGGGCCACGGUGUUCCGAAAUGUUGUCCUGAAGUCCCAAAUGGGGGAAAGGAGGAGGAGCAGUCCUCUAGUGUAGUGAUUACGGAUACGGUCACAUGGUGAGGAAGUCCUAGAGGACAAUGGGACUUAGUGGCUGGGCCUGUGGGCCUUGAUCUGGUAGUAGUGCUGGUGAACAUGGCCAUGGACGGAAAAGGGACUUGGCAGGAACUAACAAAGGGAUAUUGGGGAUGGCUAUUCCCCAUGUUUGUGGGCAUCCUAAGGAUGCUAAGGAGUGGAUCUAGGAAGACCACUUGUGGAUGGAUGGCCCAGUCUUGGAGAGACGGGAUUGUGAUACAAGUGGUAUUGGACCACUAGUGCGGCAAAGGUGAAUGGGCAUGGCUUUAGCGUAACGGGCCGAUAUGUCUGUGGUACCUUUGGGUGUCGGUCUUGGGACUAGACACGUGGAGCACUUGGACUAAGUGCAGGGGAUGAGUGGCAUGGAUGCCAUUCUCGGGACUAGCAAGUCCCAAGUCCUAAAUUGGACUUAAGGAGGUUGUGAAUGAGACUCUUCCAAGUGGACAAAGGUGUAGUUAAGUGACUAAAGUAAAAUGGAAAAAUUAGUCACUUACAAAGUUCUCUUGCCAAGGUUCCCACCUAUCGUACCAGCUCCUACUUAGUCCUAUUUAAUUUCAGCAACUCACUACACAAGCAAUGGAGUGUUAGCUAUCCAUUCACGAAUUCUCAAAUCUCUCCCAAUCCCCCUCCCUAGGUUAGAUUGGACUUAAGGUUCAGCUAUACUCCCCAUAGGCACGAGAAACUAAGCACACCAAGCCUCCAGGUUCCUAACAUCCCUUGGUACAACAAGACUUAAUCAUAAGACCCAUCUAUGAUUAAGUCUUGUUGUACCAAAGGCCUGGAUUGAGUGGCAAUUAAUCCUAACUAUCAUGUUUACAUUCCUCCAAUGCCGGACAAUCAUCCAAUAUUUGCCACACUUGCAAACCAAAUCCUCACCACCAGGGUGGAGCGAGCUUUGGUCAAUGUACACUCCAUGUUGGUGGUGUUGUUGAACACCUUUUGCAACUUGUUGAUCUUUCUGGCCAGGAUAUGCUUCUUCUAGAUGGCCAUUCUUGAUGAAAAGCUCAAUCACUAUUGUCAUGAGUUUGGUGUUUGCUAUGCUUUCAAAAUGUUGAUGUGUGAGUAAAGGUAAGGUAAUGGUUAUCCUUCCUUUGUGCCCAUCCUUGGGAAAGGGGAACUUUUUUCUCUAUUUCAUUGCCAAGGAGGAGAGAUCUAGUAGCUUUGGCAAGAUUCAUCCUUGGGAGAAGAUAUAGCAAAAGAUGUGGAGCACUUUUUCUCUUUCGCUCUAGGUUUGGAGAAAGCUAUAGAUUUGAACAUACUACUAUUGCAGCUUUGGCUCAUACACUUCUAGCAUUGCCUGUGCCUUUCUUUCCCUUACAGUGUUGCGGGCAAUCCAAGGAAUGCACAACAUCCAUAUUGCAAUUCAUGGUGGCUAUCUUGAACAAAGAGCAAGACAACAACAAUCUGCAGUGAUCCCAUGCUUAUGUGGCCAUUAAAAUUAAAUUUAUGGCAUAGAUUAGUAUUGCUACUUCUAAUCAAGGUGCAAUGGCUCUAGUAACUAAUCUUUUAAAAUAUUCUUAAGCAUAGUUUACUUUUCUUAUACUUUUGAAGUAGCUCAGAUUUGGUUGGGUGAUUUGGUCAAAGUAUGCAAAACCCUAAUCUAAAUGAAUAACAUAAGAAUAUUUUAAAAUAUUCAAGUAUAUUCUAGAUAGGCUUCAAGGAAGCACUGGAAAAAUCAAUCACUUCAAAAGUAGGAAUAAAUUAAUUUUAAAUAAACAACACUUCUAAAAACUAAUCAGGUUAAAGCAAGAAAAUAAAAUCAAUCUUAAAUAAAAGUUUUAUAGUUGACCAUGUCAUAAUGAUAUCUUGUCCUUAUCCUUUAUUUUCCCUCUUGAUCUAAAAAACUUAUCAAAGCCAUAUUUCUAAGUCAGUUUCUUAACCCUAUCCGUGCAAGCAUAUGCAUCUGGAUAAAUUGUAAAGUGACCACCCUAGGAGAGGCAAAAUUGACAAGAACUUAGACUUCUAUCAUGGCUCUGUAGAAAUGACUUAGCAACACAUUUAUAAAAAAGAAAGAAGAAAUACAUUGAGCAGUGAGGAAUAGAGCGAUGAUCUUACUUCUCAUUGUCCGCAAAUGCACAUCUGUCCAUGACAUGUGUCCAUGCAGCAUUGUCUUAGGCCAGUUUUGUCUCACACGAUUGAUUACCUGCGCUCUUGGAUGAUCUGUUGCUCUUGGUAAUAGAUUGCUGAUGAGAUUCGUGGCAUCCUUUAGAACAGGUACAAAGAAAAGUUUCAAACCUCAAAGGCUGAGGAAGAGCCACAAGCAAGAGGCUUGUGCUCCAGAGUGAUAGCACCGCUUUCUUCCAUAAUUUUUCCAUAAGCUUCUUUAUGAGGGCUCCUGGAUCCCUCUGAAAAACCCUGGCAAGCAGUGAUUUGUUAAUAUUUUGGUGCUUACCUCCUGUGAAGACCUAGUGCCGUGGCAACACACCCGGGCUGGAGCAGUGGCAAGCAUAGCUCUAACAUUGCGAAUCCACGCUCCAUCCCAGAUGUUCAUGAUUUCCUGUGGUAAUCAACCUGCAUUCCCCAGAUUAUCGGCCCAAAGCUGUGAAAGCGCCAAGCAUUGACUGAUCCAGACAAAGCCAUGGCACCUGGCGCUGAAAGGCGUCUGCCGUAAACCUUCAACUCUCCCGCUUCAUUUGAGCCGGAGAUUAUUCCCGAGCAUAUUAUAUACGUGAUAAAUCGUGAUAAAGAAAUCAUGAUGCUAGGGAAAGAGAAUGCAGAGGGCCAGGGCUUUCCAUUCAAUUUGGGUGCUGGAUUCCAAAGCCCGUGAAUACAUUACCGUUCUACAAGAAGGUCAGGUUUGACGCACCUCACAUUUACUCAUUUGGACGCUAAAGCUAUUUUAUCUGGUUUUAGGGCAUCUUUUCUUUGUUUUUUUAAUUUUCUAGGAGGCAAUCGAUCAAUCCAUCGACGCAGCUGUGGAUCGUGGGACGCGCCAGUCGCUUCCGUGACCGCGAAUGCAGAGACCGCGCGGCCAGAUCUGCGCGGCCACCGGUGAGUCUUUCAUCCAAAUCGCCCAGGGCGAGGGUUUGGGGACGCGAAUUCGGGCAUGCGGCAGUGAGUCCCUGAAACCGCUCGCCUUUGGGUGCUCUCCAGCUCCAGAUCUGGCUGCUCGCGCCGGGACGAGGCGAUGAUGCUGCUCCUCUGCUCCACAUCCCAGCAAGGCGUGGCGUCUCUCUUCUCCGCGUCAUAGCCACAAAACAAUGCGUCUUCCUCUCUACAGCACGGUAAGCGCGUAGCUAGAUCGAGCUCGAGAGUUGUUCUUGCGAGAGAUGAGAGAAAAGAUUGCCAGAUGAGAAAGGAGAGCUAGAUCGGAGAGAAAGACGGUAGCUUCACAACCAGGGAGAUAGAAGUGAUCCAGGAGAUAGACAUGUAGAUUGCGAGAGAGAGAAAAGAGAGGCUUAGAGUUUUUGGUGAGGUGUGAGAAAGAGACAAGAAGUAGAGGUUUUUGUGAUGAAGUGUAGAUUGCGAGAAGAGAGGCAUAGAGAUUUUUGCGAUGUAUUUCUCUUACACUUUGCUUCGUGCUCCAAAACAGGGAGAGACACAGGGUCCAGGGAAUUGCACUUACUGCAACCUCCUCCUCAAGCAGCAAAGUCCCGGGCGAGCCAGCCGCUUCUUCAAGGCCGCCGCCGCCAUGCCUCCCUCGGCCGUGCACGACUGCUCCUUCCCUUCCACGCCAGGCAAAGUGAAGAUGGAGAGGAGCAACUACUUCGGCAGAGUUGCAAGCCGGUGGCAGUCGUUCGGCCCGGGGAAGAUCGUCUUCUGGUGCGUCGCGCUGCUAGCUUUGCUCGUGGUGGCGGUCUUCUUCUACGCGACGUCCCCCGGCGUCCACAACAGCUUCGAGCAGAGCUUGAGCUUGCGGGAGGCGAAGAACGACGUGGUGAGCUGGGGGGGAUCCGUGUGGGAGAAGCACGUCCGCCACUCGGCGCACGCCAAGCGAGAGAACGGCCUGGUCGUGCUCGUCACCGGCGCCGCCGGAUUUGUUGGGACUCACGUCUCCCUGGCUCUCAAGAAGCGGGGUGACGGAGUGAUUGGCCUGGACAACUUCAACAGCUACUACGAUCCGUUCCUCAAGCGCGCGCGGCAGGGGCUCCUGGAGAAGCAGGGGGUGUUCGUCGUCGAGGGCGACAUCAACAACAUCGCGCUGCUGCGCAAGCUCUUCGACGUGAUCACUUUCACGCACGUCAUGCACCUGGCGGCGCAGGCCGGGGUGAGAUACGCGAUGGAGAACCCGGGCUCUUACGUCCACAGCAACAUCGCCGGCUUCGUCAACCUCCUGGAGGCUUGCAAGGAGGCGAGCCCGCAACCGGCGAUCGUCUGGGCCUCGUCCAGCUCCGUCUACGGCCUCAACUCCAAGGUCCCCUUCUCGGAGAUCGAUCGAACCGACCAGCCGGCGAGCUUGUACGCGGCGACCAAGAAGGCCGGCGAGGAGAUCGCUCACACUUACAACCACAUCUACGGACUCUCCAUCACGGGCUUGCGGUUCUUCACGGUCUACGGGCCUUGGGGGCGGCCGGACAUGGCUUACUUCUUCUUCACCAAGGCGAUCCUGCAAGGGAAGCCAGUGAACAUCUACCAGGGGCCGAACCAAGUGGAUCUAGCUCGCGACUUCACUUACAUCGACGAUAUCGUGAAGGGCUGCUUUGGAGCGCUGGACACGGCGACUCCGAGCACAGGGACUGGGGGGAAGAAGCGGGGACCGGCGCAGCUCCGGGUGUACAACCUCGGGAACACUUCGCCCGUGACGGUGCCGACCUUGGUGGCGAUUCUGGAGAAGCAUCUCAAGGUGAAGGCCAAGAGGAAUGUGGUGAGGAUGCCGCGCAACGGGGACGUGCCUUUCACCCACGCAAACGUGACGCUGGCGAGGGUGGAGCUGGGCUACAAUCCCACCACGGAUUUGCAAACGGGGCUCAAGAAGUUUGUCAAGUGGUACCAGCUCUACUAUGGUGGAGGAUCAUCUUCUUCGUCUUCUUCUUCUUCGAGCAAGAGGAGGCUCCGGCCUUGAUAUAUAGAAUGGUUUGGCUUUUUUCCUUUGCUCGUGCUGGGAAAAUAAUUUGCUUGCUUGCUUGAUUGAUUGAUUGAUUGAUUGACCACCUCCCUCUCGAGAGAGCGAGCAAGAGAGAAUUCUUUGCUUUUUGCUUUUUGCUUCUUUCGACGGUGAUUUGGUGAGCAGUUUUUUUGGAUCGAAAGGUUGUAACAAUGUAGCUUCGAAUGAAAAAUGAUAGUACGGAAUGAGUUGAGCACCCAAGUACGGAGAGGUCAUUCUGAGAGCAUAUACCGUGGCUGAUUAUUCCAGAAGAAUAUACUAUUAGGGCAAGAGAUUAUUCCAAAGAAUAUGCACACGAAUCAAAAUACCACCAAAAAAUCGAUCAAUCGGGAUUGGAUCGAUCAACACCUCCAGGUGGAAGCCGCGACGAUGGGCUUGCCCUUCCAGCCAAGAACAAUGCAGCCCUUCUCCUCCACCAGCGUGUAGCCCUCGGAUGGAUAGUACAUGCCCAGCCACGUCUUGACCUCGCCCAAGAACUUGAGUGGCUUGGGCUGGAACCCCGCGCGGCUCAUCCUCCGCCGCCACUGGUCCGCCCGCUCGUGGCGCUCCACCCGGUCCGGCCCCUCGCACGCCACGAUGUUCUUGAUCUCCUCCGCGUAGUGGUACUGCUCGAUCUUGAGCCGCUCCUCGCUGUCGCUGGGCAGGAUCGCGUCCACCGCGUCGAAGAUCGCCGAGUAGUAGUGGAGCGCCUCGAUGAAUCGCCCCAGAAAGAAGGGGCCGUUGUGGCAGGCGUCCUGCUCCACCAGCGUCAGGAUCUUGGGGCUCAGCUCGUGGAUGGAUUGCAGCACCGACUUGAGCGAUCGCCGGCUCUCCUUGACGACGCAGUGGAGCUGGAACGCGCUGUUGAUCGCCAUGGCCUCGCCGUCGCGGACGUCGAGCAUCCCCCGCUGGAGGCUCUCCACAGCUUGGGUCACGGCCCGGAACUCGAAUUGGAGCUCCAGGCUCUCGGCCAGGCGCGAGAGCUCCUCGCCCGCCAGGAAGAGCUUGUCGCUGCGAUCGCAGCUCACGCCCGUGAUCCGGAUCGACUCGGGCGGCCCGCCGGGGCGCGAUGCCAGCCCCUGGAGCAGCGCCGGCCACUGCAGCGCACUGCUCAUCCCGAGAUCCACGAUGUGGACCCUCGAUUCUCCCUCGAAGGCGUCGAGGAUGGCGGCGUUGGCGGCGAAGUGGCCGAAGGAGAAGUAGGGGCAGAACUCGUAGACGAGGUUGAAUCCCUCGUCGCGCAACGCCUCGGGGAUCUGGCUGCGUCGUGCCGCCGGCGGUGCCACUGCUGGCUUGUAGGCGGCGCCGCUGAGGCUGAUGCUCUGGAGCCCCGCCAGCCGCGCGGUAAGGCCCUCGACGAAGCACGACGUGACGCGCUGCAUGGAGUCGCCGCGCGGCGAUGCCAUUUGCUGGAGCUGGCUGAGAAGGGUGGCGGCUUGGUUGACGUCGCGGCACGCCACCGCCUCGGCGCAGGCGAGGAGAAGCUGGAUCAGCCGGAUUCCCACAUUCGCAUCGCCCGAUUCGUGAUGAUCUUGAGCCGCUGCCGGCUGUGCUCGCGAUCCCUGCUGUUGUUCUUGUUCGAAGAGCGAUUGAUCUUGAGCAUGGCGUUGUUGCUGCUGUUCUUGCUGUUCUUGCUGCUCUUGCUGGUGCUGUAACCCUCGCCAGAAUUCCAGGCCCACCGCGCCGUCGCUCUCCAGCGCCGAUAUCGAUUCCUUGAGCUCGAUCUUGUCCUGCAGCACGUCCUCGCGCUGCACGGGAUUGAAGACGUCGUUGCUACACAUCAUCUCCAAGAACUUGGUAUCGUCGGAGGAGUUGUAUGACGAUGGAGCCGAGGCGUGUGUCGCGGAGUGGUUCUGCCAAUCUUCGUCCAGGCCGAUAUUUUGCUGCUGCUGGAUGUGAUUCUGGCCGGGAUCCAAGAGCCGCAUCUCGAAUUCGUCGUCCGAGGCCGUGGAUAGCAACACCUCGGGCUGCCAGAUGGAGUAAUCCAUCCCCGACGACGACGACCUGUGGAGCGAGGAGGAGGAACAAGGCUGGAGCGAUGCCUCUAGAUCACCUGUGAGAUCGAGUGGCGCAAACACAUCCUCGAAUUCCUCGUCCGAGCCACUGGCAGUACCGCCGUGCUUGAGCUUCUUCUGCCGAAAGAUUUGCUGCUGCGAUGGCGGAGGCGCCGCCGGGAUGAGAUGAUGCUGAGGCGGCGAAAUGCAGUUCCCAAGAUCGAGGACCGAUUUUGGCUCCUCGUGAUCGUAGCGAGACGAGCGCCUUCUCUUGGCGAUCCCGCUCAUACCUAGCUCUCGAGCUCUUCUUCCCAAAAUUUAAAAAUGCCCCAAUUCCUUGGACCCGUUUUAAAACCCCCGCGCAAUCCCUGCCGGCCGAUCCCUUCGCGCCUUCCACGUGGCGGGAUGACACCCAUUCUCCAUCCCACGUACGGCUGGCCCAUAAAGCGUCUGUACGAGACUGGAUAUUCCGGCAUCCCAUCGCUACAUGUUAAAAUAUUUCCAAAGCUCUCGACAUCGUCGAUGGCAAAUUCAUAUUGCCCAUCUAUGAGAAAAUCUUUUUUGCCAGCUAUGAAUGACCACAUUCUUUAGUUCCUGGAGUGUGGAUGGAACGCAAACUCCAAGCCCCGGGAUAUUCCAAACCAUGGACUGUAUAGCCUAGUGUUUUCUCUAUAGUCAAGCUGUAUUUACAUUUUUAUAUGGUUUCUUUUUUCUCUCUCGCCCUCUUUUUUCUGGAUUUUUUCGAGCUAGACUAUGCAAUGCAAGCUUUGUCCUUGAUGCUCGUCAUAAGCCCCAAUCGUGACCGUCUGUCAAUGGAUUUGCAAAGCUGUGGAGCCCUGGUUGUCACCCUUGUAGGGGUCGGCGCAAAGGUAUUUCUCUACGUAGUCCUGUAAGAAAGAAAAAUCACUAUUUAAGUUUAAGAUCGUCUACAAAGUUCUAGUCUAAGAAUCCUAGAGGGUUUUCUGGAAGGCCAGAAGUAAUGCUAUAGCAAGAAGCACUGCUCAAUUGCAAGAGAUGCCAGAUCAAACAGGAGCGAGAAACCAAGUAGAAAAAACAGUAGCUACAUUCGAUUGCGAUGGAGAGGAAUCGAGGCUUUGUUUUGCUCGGAGAGCACAAACGAU